ACUCAUGUCCCUUAGCAUGCGUCGUGGAGUACCCAUCAACUGUCUUUAUGGUCAUCCAGUUACGGACAACGUUUGAUCAGCAAUAAGGCACUCGACUCUAACAUCUAGGGUCCAUAGUUGGUUUCAGGUCGAAGGUGGUAUACACCAUUAUCACCAUGAGAAUAACUUAUGACACUUUGCAUAACAUUUUAUACAGUAUUCUCAUAGCGGGUCAAUCCCGUAUAAAUAUUGCUCUUAAUAUGCAAUACUAUGUUUGAGACUUGAUAACUCUUAUCCAUGAUCCAUGAGAUGUGAUCAUCAGUCUAUAAAACAUAAUAGUCUUCAUGGCUUUAAUGUUAUCCCACUUCACAAUAAAGCUUCGACUACGGAUACUUUAAGAAUAGUGUCCUUAUGUUUAAUGUGCUCUCAUGAUUAAGUCACACUUGAUACAUUAAACAGACUAUCUAUUCCAGGGACUUUAUUAAACAAACAUAAUAAAGAAAAAACCUUUUAUUAUUAAUAAACAAUUCGAUACAAGUAUCAAAAGUAUUGGCCUCUAGGGCUUACACCAACAGAAACAUUGUCUGCUUGGUCCAACUAAUAAACUUCACCUAAAUCUAAACACUUUAAGAAAAAUGCUAUCAAUGAUAACAACCAACUCGUUGAAAUUGUGUGAGUAAAUAUGUAGGUUGAUGUGAGCCAUAAUUCAAUCUUGUUUUAAUCUAGCUUCACUCUUAUUCAAAAAUUAAUUCAUAUAUGAACUUUAGAAAAUACUACCAUUAAGAAAGUGACUUUUUAUGAAAUACAUAUCAGUGGAAACAUAAUUUGAUUUAAACACUCACUCCCAGUCAAUUUGAUUGCACCGAAAUUAUGCCAUGGUUGUGCGAUACGUAAAAGUGUAAAGAAUUUACAAAGACAUAUAUAUUAAUGAUAGUAAUAUAUAAUAAUUAUAAGAAAUAAAAAGGAAAAGAAAAGUGGAAAUAAAAAACAAAAUUUUGAGUCCAACUAAAACACUUCAAAAAAACAAAACAAAACAACUACUUCAGAAACUCAUAAAACCUUGAUUCCCUUCUUCUAC
Molecule: long non-coding RNA, 1057 nt
Filed under: Lathyrus oleraceus (garden pea)
Lineage: Eukaryota; Viridiplantae; Streptophyta; Magnoliopsida; Fabales; Fabaceae
Description: Pisum sativum (pea) long non-coding RNA (PSAT_LNC037649)
Source: RNAcentral